GUGCUCACCUCAGCCACACACAUACUAAACUAGGAACGAUACGGGGAAGAUAACCAUGGCCCAUGUGCAAAGGGGACAAGCAAACCUGGGACACGUUCCAUAUUUCA
Molecule: small nuclear RNA, 107 nt
Organism: Cervus hanglu yarkandensis (Yarkand deer)
Lineage: Eukaryota; Metazoa; Chordata; Mammalia; Artiodactyla; Cervidae
Source: Ensembl